GGACUACACGGGUAUCUAAUCCCGUUCGCUCCCCUGGCUUUCGUGUCUCAGUGUCAGCAAACUCCCAGCGAGCUGUUUUCACCAUUGGCGUUCCAAAUGAUAUCUACGCAUUUCACCGCUCCACCAUUUGUUCCGCUCGCCCCUAAGUUGCUCAAGACCAACAGUAUACCAAGCAGUUCCACGGUUAAGCCGUGGGAUUUCACAAGGUACUUAUCAGUCCACCUACACACGCUUUAAGCCCAGUGAUUCCGCCUAACGCUUGGCACCUCUGUCUUACCGCGGCUGCUGGCAC
Molecule: ribosomal RNA, 292 nt
Filed under: uncultured bacterium
Lineage: Bacteria
Description: partial 16S ribosomal RNA
Source: RNAcentral